UUCACUGUAAGGUCUACUACACCUGUUGUAUUCAGCAUUUCACUGUAAGGUCUACUACACCUGUUGUAUUCAGCAUUUCACUGUAAGGUCUACUACACCUGUUGUAUUCAGCAUUUCACUGUAAGGUCUACUACACCUGUUGUAUUCAGCAUUCCACUGUAAGGUCUACUACACCUGUUGUAUUCAGCAUUUCACUGUAAGGUCUACUACACCUGUUGUAUUCAGCAUUCCACUGUAAGGUCUACUACACCUGUUGUAUUCAGCAUUCCACUGUAAGGUCUACUACACCUGUUGUAUUCAGCAUUUCACUGUAAGGUCUACUACACCUGUUGUAUUCAGCAUUCCACUGUAAGGUCUACUACACCUGGUGUAUUCAGCAUUUCACUGUAAGGUCUACUACACCUGUUGUAUUCAGAAUUUCACUGUAAGGUCUACUACACCUGUUGUAUUCAGUAUUUCACUGUAAGGUCUACUACACCUUUUGUAUUCAGCAUUUCACUGUGAGGUCUACUACACCUGUUGUAUUCAGCAUUUCACUGUGAGGUCU
Oncorhynchus keta (chum salmon) is the source of this 547-nucleotide long non-coding RNA. RefSeq lists it as uncharacterized. The transcript has 3 exons. The record is from RefSeq and is a predicted model, not a curated record. Lineage: Eukaryota; Metazoa; Chordata; Actinopteri; Salmoniformes; Salmonidae.